This 438-nucleotide ribosomal RNA is filed under the name Escherichia coli. Its description in RNAcentral is "bacterial SSU rRNA". It matches the Rfam family "Bacterial small subunit ribosomal RNA", at positions 229 to 659 of the family's 1533-position model. Lineage: Bacteria; Pseudomonadati; Pseudomonadota; Gammaproteobacteria; Enterobacterales; Enterobacteriaceae. The record is from RNAcentral.
GCCCAGAUGGGAUUAGCUAGUAGGUGGGGUAAAGGCUCACCUAGGCGACGAUCCCUAGCUGGUCUGAGAGGAUGACCAGCCACACUGGAACUGAGACACGGUCCAGACUCCUACGGGAGGCAGCAGUGGGGAAUAUUGCACAAUGGGCGCAAGCCUGAUGCAGCCAUGCCGCGUGUAUGAAGAAGGCCUUCGGGUUGUAAAGUACUUUCAGCGGGGAGGAAGGGAGUAAAGUUAAUACCUUUGCUCAUUGACGUUACCCGCAGAAGAAGCACCGGCUAACUCCGUGCCAGCAGCCGCGGUAAUACGGAGGGUGCAAGCGUUAAUCGGAAUUACUGGGCGUAAAGCGCACGCAGGCGGUUUGUUAAGUCAGAUGUGAAAUCCCCGGGCUCAACCUGGGAACUGCAUCUGAUACUGGCAAGCUUGAGUCUCGUAGAGGGG